Molecule: non-coding RNA, 44 nt
Filed under: Schistosoma mansoni
Lineage: Eukaryota; Metazoa; Platyhelminthes; Trematoda; Strigeidida; Schistosomatidae
Source: RNAcentral
AUCCAACUGACGAGUCCCAAAAGGACGAAACGCGCAUCCUGGAU